Transfer RNA from Paenibacillus polymyxa SC2, 73 nucleotides. It matches the Rfam family "tRNA". Rfam says of the family: Transfer RNA (tRNA) molecules are approximately 80 nucleotides in length. The record is from Rfam. Lineage: Bacteria; Bacillati; Bacillota; Bacilli; Caryophanales; Paenibacillaceae.
ACCCUCGUAAUUUAAUGGUUAGAAUAACCGCCUUUUAAGCGGUAGGUUGCAGGUUCGAGUCCUGUCGAGGGUA